GGGCGGUUAGCUCAGUUGGUUAGAGUGUCACGUUGACAUCGUGAAGGUCACAAGUUCGAGUCUUGUACCGCCCA
RNAcentral lists this transfer RNA (74 nucleotides) under Candidatus Omnitrophota bacterium. RNAcentral's name for it is "tRNA-Val". It matches the Rfam family "tRNA". From Rfam's summary of the family: Transfer RNA (tRNA) molecules are approximately 80 nucleotides in length. Their secondary structure includes four short double-helical elements and three loops (D, anti-codon, and T loops). Lineage: Bacteria; Pseudomonadati; Candidatus Omnitrophota. The record is from RNAcentral.